Small nucleolar RNA from Notolabrus celidotus (New Zealand spotty), 132 nucleotides. RefSeq annotates it as U8 small nucleolar RNA. The transcript has a single exon. Lineage: Eukaryota; Metazoa; Chordata; Actinopteri; Labriformes; Labridae. The record is from RefSeq and is a predicted model, not a curated record.
UCUUCAGUGAGGUACAUCCUUACCUGUUACUCCAUACGUGGAGUAUCAGAAAAUGAUGAAUGGGGAAGUAUGAGAUAUGAUUAAGAUCUCCAGCUCACAAGGAACAGCAACACCUUGUGAGUCCAUUCUGAU